AGAGGAUGCAGCAAUAAAGCGCCAUCUUGGAAGCAGAGACUGGGCUCUCACCAGACACAAAAUCUUCAUCUUGGACUUCCCAGCCUCCAGAACUGAAGUUUCCGAGAUUGAAGAAGAAGGGAGAGAGGACUACAGGCAUCGCAGGGCCAACAGCAUUAAGUGCUACAAAGAGAGCCCCUGCUGAGAGGGCCCCUCGGCUCCUCCCCAAGAUCCCGACAGGAAGGGGCUGCCUUUUGUCACAAUUUGACUGACUGUUCCAGGUCAAUUGAGGGUGAAUCCUCAAACCAGCAGGCUUUAAGGAGCACCUUAGGGUUCAGAGCAGACCUUUUUCUUUUUCUGCCGGUGUGUAGCAGAUCUCCUUCUGCAGCCUUGGCUGUGAUCUCUGCUCCUCUCCCUCUCUGCCUUGGCUAUCUGCCUGCUCUCCUGCUGUCCUCAUCUGUAGGAGCUGCACAGCUCAGCAAGAAACUGUUCUUACUGUUCCCAUCACAGCACUGGAAGAAAAAGAAUACUGAGAUAGUUGCCUAAAAAGCAGAAGAAGCUCCUGUCACAGGGCCAAAUGCUCUCGUUUAAGGAAUUCUGAUUUUACAAAAGGAAAUCCCCCAACCCCUCAACUAAAAGUUAAAGAUGAAAAGGCAUUAUGUCUUAAAACAGACAGUUUUGUGGUUAUUUCACUGCAGUCAAAAACAGAACUCUGGCAAAACAGCAUGGAAUGGGAAGUGGACAUAGCUUUCUGCCUAAACACACACCCUGCAACAUAGUGAAUCACUCUGCCUGAUCCUUCAGCCAUUCUCCUUGGACCAAGCUUACACCUUCUGACUGUCUCCUCCUGUAAAGUGAGUCCUCAUCUUAGGAAUCAUCCAUUAGAGAGAUUUGCUUUGUUUCUCUUUCAAAUACCUCAGGACAGGUCUGAAUUUCUAAUAGGCAUUUUGCAUUUUUUACUUAGGAUCAUUACUUUUCUUUACAUUCCUUUUGAAAGUCUUUUUGUUACUGUUAAUAGAUCAGAGACAGAAAAAUUUUCUUAGAAAAAUCUAAGAAAUAAGUUUGCUUCAAGAAUCUCUAAAAUGAAGAGAUUUUAUAUGAAGAUGACUAGAUGACCAGAAUUAUCCAUAUUUUUGGACAAUAUUACUGUUUCCUCCACCAUCUGCUCCUUCCCUUCUCCUGUAAAGAAGAGAGCCUUUAAAUAAGUAAAAAUAUCAUACUGUUUCCCCUCAUUGAGGGCCCAUAAUCCAGUCAAUUUGUAACGCACCUGUGUUUAUUCCCCUCUAAUUGAAGAUGGUGUCCUCUGUAUUUUUUACUGUGCCCAAUGCAAAAACUCAUGUGACUAAUUAUGUUCAUAACUAAAAAUACUUUUCUCUUUUGUUGAACUGAUGAGCUUCCUUGAAUUAGAAACUAAACCCCAUCUAAUUCUUUCUGCUUAUAUUCGUUUGACUUCCAGGAUGUUUAUUUAUAAUAUUCAUGCUUAAUUAUAGUGCUAUAUUUAUUUUCAAUUUUCUGAUAUAAUUGUUUUAAGUAAUUAGGUCCUACCUAAUUAUUAUUUAUUGCCUAUUGUUUUGUUU
Molecule: non-coding RNA, 1556 nt
Organism: Callithrix jacchus (white-tufted-ear marmoset)
Lineage: Eukaryota; Metazoa; Chordata; Mammalia; Primates; Cebidae
Source: RefSeq, a predicted model, not a curated record